Non-coding RNA from Phrynosoma platyrhinos (Desert horned lizard), 72 nucleotides. The record is from the annotation of a GenBank genome assembly. Lineage: Eukaryota; Metazoa; Chordata; Lepidosauria; Squamata; Phrynosomatidae.
GCCAGUGUGGUGUAGUGGUUUGCACAUUGGACUAUGACUCUGGAAAAUAGGGUUUGAAUCCAUGCUUGGCCA